RNAcentral lists this ribosomal RNA (492 nucleotides) under uncultured bacterium. Its description in RNAcentral is "partial 16S ribosomal RNA". It matches the Rfam family "Bacterial small subunit ribosomal RNA", at positions 29 to 507 of the family's 1533-position model. The record is from RNAcentral.
AGUGAACGCUGGCGGUAGGCCUAACACAUGCAAGUCGAACGGCAGCACAGUAAGAGCUUGCUCUUACGGGUGGCGAGUGGCGGACGGGUGAGGAAUACAUCGGAAUCUACUUUUUCGUGGGGGAUAACGUAGGGAAACUUACGCUAAUACCGCAUACGACCUACGGGUGAAAGCAGGGGAUCUUCGGACCUUGCGCGAUUGAAUGAGCCGAUGUCGGAUUAGCUAGUUGGCGGGGUAAAGGCCCACCAAGGCGACGAUCCGUAGCUGGUCUGAGAGGAUGAUCAGCCACACUGGAACUGAGACACGGUCCAGACUCCUACGGGAGGCAGCAGUGGGGAAUAUUGGACAAUGGGCGCAAGCCUGAUCCAGCCAUACCGCGUGGGUGAAGGAGGCCUUCGGGUUGUAAAGCCCUUUUGUUGGGAAAGAAAAGCAGCAGGUUAAUACCCCGCUGUUCUGACGGUACCCAAAGAAUAAGCACCGUCUAACUUCGUG